GAUGAACGCUGGCGGUAUGCUUAACACAUGCAAGUCGAACGGUCUCUUCGGAGAUAGUGGCGGACGGGUGAGUAACGCGUGAGAAUCUGGCUCUAGGUCUGGGACAACCACUGGAAACGGUGGCUAAUACCGGGUGUGCCGAAAGGUGAAAGGUUAACUGCCUGGAGAUGAGCUCGCGUCUGAUUAGCUAGUUGGUAGGGUAAAAGCUUACCAAGGCGACGAUCAGUAGCUGGUCUGAGAGGACGAUCAGCCACACUGGGACUGAGACAC
This 270-nucleotide ribosomal RNA is filed under the name Rhizonema sp. 'cyanobiont of Leptogidium sp.'. RNAcentral's name for it is "partial 16S ribosomal RNA". It matches the Rfam family "Bacterial small subunit ribosomal RNA", at positions 28 to 327 of the family's 1533-position model. Lineage: Bacteria; Bacillati; Cyanobacteriota; Cyanophyceae; Nostocales; Rhizonemataceae. The record is from RNAcentral. RNAcentral also lists the same sequence under 40 other names.